This 420-nucleotide ribosomal RNA is filed under the name Fusobacteriota bacterium. Its description in RNAcentral is "Fusobacteria bacterium partial 16S ribosomal RNA". It matches the Rfam family "Bacterial small subunit ribosomal RNA", at positions 355 to 776 of the family's 1533-position model. The record is from RNAcentral. Lineage: Bacteria; Fusobacteriati; Fusobacteriota.
UGGGGGAUAUUGCACAAUGGGCGAAAGCCUGAUGCAGCGACGCCGCGUGGGGGAUGAAGGCCUUCGGGUUGUAAACUUCUUUUGCUCUGAACAAGGCAUGCCUUUGGGGUGUGUUGAGUGUAGGGGUUGAUUAGCGCCGGCUAACUACGUGCCAGCAGCCGCGGUAAUACGUAGGGCGCGAGCGUUGUCCGGAAUUAUUGGGCGUAAAGGGCUUGUAGGUGGCUGGUUGCGUCUGUCGUGAAAGCUCAUGGCUUAACUGUGGGUUUGCGGUGGGUACGGGCUGGCUUGAGUGCAGUAGGGGGGGCUGGAGUUCCUGGUGUAGCGGUGGAAUGCGCAGAUAUCAGGAGGAAUACCGGUGGCGAAGGCGGGUCUCUGGGCUGUUACUGACGCUGAGGAGCGAAAGCGUGGGGAGCGAACAGG